GAGACAUCAAGUUUGUCAAUUUUCCGCAACCAUCUACUUCGAAUUUUACAAGUUUACUGAAGUAGGUAGUUGGAAGUUGGUGAGACCAGAGAGCAGUUAUGCUGUCAGCCCUAUCGAUAUACAGAUCUUCCAGGUUGGGACAAGAAACCUUUUCAUCAAAAAGAGGAUUUGAGUCAGUGAUAGAGUUGUUGGCUGUAUGCCAGAAAUUUUGGAACUCUGGUAAGCUACUGAAGUGCAUUUUCCGCAACCGAGGGAACUCAAUGCCCUCAACAGUGUCAUUGCAAAAGUGAGUGAGGCAUUCCA
Molecule: unclassified non-coding RNA, 303 nt
Filed under: Hevea brasiliensis (rubber tree)
Lineage: Eukaryota; Viridiplantae; Streptophyta; Magnoliopsida; Malpighiales; Euphorbiaceae
Source: RNAcentral